RNAcentral lists this long non-coding RNA (1168 nucleotides) under Numida meleagris (helmeted guineafowl). RNAcentral's name for it is "lncRNA (ENSNMEG00000009805.1)". Lineage: Eukaryota; Metazoa; Chordata; Aves; Galliformes; Numididae. The record is from RNAcentral.
CAGAUUUAAAUUCUGAAGAAAUAAUUUACUAUUCUUUCGUUAGCAACACUACCAGUGCUAAUAAUCCGUUCUUAAAAACUAUCAUCAUAGGUAUGUGUAGAAAGCUGUCAGUCUUCCACACAUCCUAAAUGAGCUGUGAAGAUGUGAUGCCGAGGGGCUGAUGCUAUAUAGAAAUGUUGGUCUGCAGUCGGCAUCACCACCCUUUUCAUCUCAGUGGUACUUAGGAUUCAUAUUCAUCACCACCAGGCCAUGUAGGCACCUUGCUGUUGAUGUUUCUUGGCAGAAUAAAUGCGAUCCUGAAUUGGCAGACAAACUGGACUUGCAAAUGCUCAAGGAAGAACCAGCUUAUGAGGGGAGGAGGAGCACUGCCAACUCCUCUAAAGAGUAACUGAAUGAGACCUGGCAGCUUGAAACGCGCCACUGGUAAGCCAUUGGAAAACUUUCCUCUAGCUGAAUACCCUUCAGAAAAACUACUCUGACACUUACCAGCUGAAUUCAGGUAAGGGAUUGUGCGGCUUGGAUUUGUCAUGGUGAUGGCUGGACUUGAUGAUCUUAGAAGUCUUUUCAGCUGAAAUGAUUUUCUGAUUCUACUAUUCUAUGAUCAUGACGUGCUGAGUCUGCUGUAAGAGCAGCUAGCAGCAACUUGCAGUUAAGUUGAUGUCUGCACAUAUACCUGGGAUUGCCCAUACCCAAAGUGUAACACCUUGCAUUUGGCCUUGUUCAGUCUCAUUUGGUUUGUGUGGGCCCACUUCUCUAUCCUGUCUAGGUCCCUCUGGAUGGCAUCCCUUCCUUCUGUUAUACCAACCACACCGCUCAGCUUGGUGUCAUCAGCAAACUUGCUGAGGGUGCAUGCAGUCCCAUCAUCUGUGUCACUGAUAAAGAUGUUAAACAGUCCUGGUCACAGAUGGACCACUGGGGGACACCACUUGUCACCGGCCUCCAAGUGGACAUAGAGCCAUUAACCACAACCCUCUGGCUGCAACCUUCCAACCAGUUUCUUAUCCACUGAACAGUCCCCCCUUCAAACCCAUCUCUCUCCAAUUUAGAGAUAAGGAUGUGGUGCGGGACCAUGUCAAAGGCCUUGCACAAGUCCAAGUAUGUGACAUCAGUUUCCCUCCCUUUGUCCACUGAUGCUAUUGUUGCAACAUAGAAGGCCACCAGAUUUUUC